AUUGAACGCUGGCGGCAGGCCUAACACAUGCAAGUCGAGCGGAUGAAGGGAGCUUGCUCCUGGAUUCAGCGGCGGACGGGUGAGUAAUGCCUAGGAAUCUGCCUGGUAGUGGGGGAUAACGUCCGGAAACGGGCGCUAAUACCGCAUACGUCCUGAGGGAGAAAGUGGGGGAUCUUCGGACCUCACGCUAUCAGAUGAGCCUAGGUCGGAUUCGCUAGUUGGUGGGGUAAAGGCCUACCAAGGCGACGAUCCGUAACUGGUCUGAGAGGAUGAUCAGUCACACUGGAACUGAGACACGGUCCAGACUCCUACGGGAGGCAGCAGUGGGGAAUAUUGGACAAUGGGCGAAAGCCUGAUCCAGCCAUGCCGCGUGUGUGAAGAAGGUCUUCGGAUUGUAAAACACUUUAAGUUGGGAGGAAGGGCAGUAAGUUAAUACCUUGCUGUUUUGACGUUACCAACAGAAAAAGCACCGGCUAACUUCGUG
RNAcentral lists this ribosomal RNA (484 nucleotides) under uncultured bacterium. Its description in RNAcentral is "partial 16S ribosomal RNA". It matches the Rfam family "Bacterial small subunit ribosomal RNA", at positions 30 to 507 of the family's 1533-position model. The record is from RNAcentral.